CGCGUCUCAUCUUUGCUUGUUUGCCGUUGGGCUAGGAUAAGGUUCAAUGUCAAUACUACGAUGUAUUAAAUAAGAUUAAUCUUAACAAAUUUAACUAUAAACUGCAUCAAUACAUAUUAAAACCCCAAUUAUUCAAAUGUCAAUUUUAGAGCAAAACUCAUGAUUAUCGUUCCGUAUAAGUGCCUUUCUAUUAAUAUAAAUGGUUUCCCUAUCCGAAACACUGGUCUGAAAACCAACACAUCUGGCAUGCAUAACUGAAGGUAAUGGCGG
Molecule: non-coding RNA, 270 nt
Organism: Paramuricea clavata
Lineage: Eukaryota; Metazoa; Cnidaria; Anthozoa; Malacalcyonacea; Plexauridae
Source: the annotation of a GenBank genome assembly